ACGCUGGCGGCGUGCCUAAUACAUGCAAGUAGAACGCUGUAGGAGGAGCUUGCUCUUCUGGAUGAGUUGCGAACGGGUGAGUAACGCGUAGGUAACCUGCCUGGUAGCGGGGGAUAACUAUUGGAAACGAUAGCUAAUACCGCAUAACAGUAAAUGUUGCAUGACAUUUACUUAAAAGGUGCAAUUGCAUCACUACCAGAUGGACCUGCGUUGUAUUAGCUAGUUGGUGGGGUAACGGCUCACCAAGGCGACGAUACAUAGCCGACCUGAGAGGGUGAUCGGCCACACUGGGACUGAGACACGGCCCAGACUCCUACGGAAGGCAGCAGUAGGGAAUCUUCGGCAAUGGACGGAAGUCUGACCGAGCAACGCCGCGUGAGUGAAGAAGGUUUUCGGAUCGUAAAGCUCUGUUGUAAGAGAAGAACGAGUGUGAGAGUGGAAAGUUCACACUGUGACGGUAUCUUACCAGAAAGGGAUGGCUAACUACGUGCCAGCAGCCGCGGUAAUACGUAGGUCCCGAGCGUUGUCCGGAUUUAUUGGGCGUAAAGCGAGCGCAGGCGGUUAGAUAAGUCUGAAGUUAAAGGCUGUGGCUUAACCAUAGUACGCUUUGGAAACUGUUUAACUUGAGUGCAAGAGGGGAGAGUGGAAUUCCAUGUGUAGCGGUGAAAUGCGUAGAUAUAUGGAGGAACACCGGUGGCGAAAGCGGCUCUCUGGCUUGUAACUGACGCUGAGGCUCGAAAGCGUGGGGAGCAAACAGGAUUAGAUACCCUGGUAGUCCACGCCGUAAACGAUGAGUGCUAGGUGUUAGACCCUUUCCGGGGUUUAGUGCCGCAGCUAACGCAUUAAGCACUCCGCCUGGGGAGUACGACCGCAAGGUUGAAACUCAAAGGAAUUGACGGGGGCCCG
RNAcentral lists this ribosomal RNA (906 nucleotides) under uncultured bacterium. RNAcentral's name for it is "bacterial SSU rRNA". It matches the Rfam family "Bacterial small subunit ribosomal RNA", at positions 33 to 923 of the family's 1533-position model. The record is from RNAcentral.